GGUGAACGCUGGCGGUAGGCCUAACACAUGCAAGUCGAACGGCAGCACAGUAAGAGCUUGCUCUUACGGGUGGCGAGUGGCGGACGGGUGAGGAAUACAUCGGAAUCUACUUUUUCGUGGGGAUAACGUAGGGAAACUUACGCUAAUACCGCAUACGACCUACGGGUGAAAGCAGGGGAUCUUCGGACCUUGCGCGAUUGAAUGAGCCGAUGUCGGAUUAGCUAGUUGGCGGGGUAAAGGCCCACCAAGGCGACGAUCCGUAGCUGGUCUGAGAGGAUGAUCAGCCACACUGGAACUGAGACACGGUCCAGACUCCUACGGGAGGCAGCAGUGGGGAAUAUUGGACAAUGGGCGCAAGCCUGAUCCAGCCAUACCGCGUGGGUGAAGAAGGCCUUCGGGUUGUAAAGCCCUUUUGUUGGGAAAGAAAAGCAGCAGGUUAAUACCCCGCUGUUCUGACGGUACCCAAAGAAUAAGCACCGGCUAACUUCGUG
This 491-nucleotide ribosomal RNA is filed under the name uncultured bacterium. RNAcentral's name for it is "partial 16S ribosomal RNA". It matches the Rfam family "Bacterial small subunit ribosomal RNA", at positions 28 to 507 of the family's 1533-position model. The record is from RNAcentral.